ACGAACGCUGGCGGCAUGGAUUAGGCAUGCAAGUCGAACGGGUGUAGCAAUACACUAGUGGCGCAAGGGUGAGGAACACGUGAGUAAACUGCCCUUUAGUUGGGAAUAACCCCGCGAAAGCGGAGCUAAUACCGAAUGUGUCCCACAGCUCGCAUGGGUUGUGGUAUAAAGAUUUAUUGCUAAAGGAUGUGCUCGCGUCCCAUUAGCUAGUUGGUGAGGUAACGGCCCACCAAGGCAAUGACGGGUAGGUGGUCUGAGAGGAUGGUCACCCACACUGGGACUGAGAACUGCCCAGACUCCUACGGGAGGCUGCAGUCGAGAAUCUUCCGCAAUGGGCGAAAGCCUGACGGAGCAAUGCCGCGUGCAGGAUGAAGGCCUUCGGGUCGUAAACUGCUGUCACCGGGGAUGAAUAAUGACAGUACCCGGGGAGGAAGUCACGGCUAACUACGU
Molecule: ribosomal RNA, 450 nt
Filed under: uncultured bacterium
Lineage: Bacteria
Description: bacterial SSU rRNA
Rfam family: Bacterial small subunit ribosomal RNA
Source: RNAcentral